RNAcentral lists this ribosomal RNA (231 nucleotides) under uncultured bacterium. RNAcentral's name for it is "partial 16S ribosomal RNA". It matches the Rfam family "Bacterial small subunit ribosomal RNA", at positions 333 to 561 of the family's 1533-position model. The record is from RNAcentral.
UGAAUCCUACGGGGGGCAGCAGUGAGGAAUAUUGGUCAAUGGGAGAGAUCCUGGACCAGCCAAGCCGCGUGAGGGAAGACGGCCCUAUGGGUUGUAAACCUCUUUUGUCGGAGAACAAAACCCGGGACGUGUCCCGGACUGCGUGUAUCCGAAGAAAAAGCAUCGGCUAACUCCGUGCCAGCAGCCGCGGUAAUACGGAGGAUGCGAGCGUUAUUCGGAUUUAUUGGGUUC